This 497-nucleotide ribosomal RNA is filed under the name uncultured bacterium. Its description in RNAcentral is "partial 16S ribosomal RNA". It matches the Rfam family "Bacterial small subunit ribosomal RNA", at positions 28 to 507 of the family's 1533-position model. The record is from RNAcentral.
GAUGAACGCUGGCGGCGUGCCUAAUACAUGCAAGUCGAGCGAACGGACGAGAAGCUUGCUUCUCUGAUGUUAGCGGCGGACGGGUGAGUAACACGUGUAUAACCUACCUAUAAGACUGGGAUAACUUCGGGAAACCGGAGCUAAUACCGGAUAAUAUUUUGAACCGCAUGGUUGAAUAGUGAAAGACGGUCUUGCUGUCACUUAUAGCUGGAUCCGCGCUGCAUUAGCUAGUUGGUAAGGUAACGGCUUACCAAGGCAACGAUGCAUAGCCGACCUGAGAGGGUGGUCGGCCACACUGGAACUGAGACAGCGUCCAGAGUCCUACGGGAGGCAGCAGUAUGGAAUGUUCCGCAAUGGGCGGGAGCCUGACGGAGCGACGCCACGUCAGUGAUGAAGGUCUUCGGAUCGUAAAACUCUGUUAUUAGGGAAGAACAUAUUUGUAAGUAAGUGUACACAUCGUGACGGUACCUAAUCAGAAAGCCACGGCUAACUACGUG